AGCCGCCAGUCCCCUCGCCUGCUUCGCCCUCCCCAAUCCUGUCGCCCGCAAGUCCUCCCCAAUCCAGUCGCUCGCUCUCCCCUCCCCAAUCCCCUUCAUCUUCACGGGCUCUAUCUUCUUCUCUUCCAUCAACAGAAGGUGAGCCCGUGCAUGGUGGUGGCGAUGCACAAGGCGGUGGUGCCAGAGCUCAGGGUUAGGUGGAGAUCUUCUUCUCGGGCGACCCCAUGUACUGGCAGGAGGAGAAAAAGUACCAGCCCACACCAUGGCCACGCUACGCCCCCGUUCUGGACCUCCUCGCGCCGUUCUGGAGGUGGAGCAGAUGGGUGCUCUAGGGGCGGUUCUGGGACAGAGGUGGAGGAGCAGCACGGGGCAGCUCUGGGCCGGAGGUGGAGCAGCAAGGGGCGGCCAUGGGGGCGGCGUUAGGUGGAGAGGGGCUUGGCUAAGAAUUAGUCCACCUACAUGUCCGUCCCUCCCUCCUCUUUCUAUAAUCCCCACAUCUUAUCAUCUUUGUUUUGCAUGGUUUUCUCUCUCCAAUCUCCCACAUAUCCUCAUCUUUGUUUCUGCACGUUUUAGUUUAUCAAUGCCUACAAGGUGUUUGACAAAAAUCCUGUAAGGGAGAGAUGAACCAAAUCUGAUAUUGCUCUGUUGUUUACUCAAGAAUUUCGUUUUUCCUGAAAUUUAGCACUAAACUAGAGUAACUCGAGUUGUCGGUCUAGCAUAGAACAAGGCUAUAUUUCUCUAAAAAUUUUGUCAGUGAAACUAAUUUUGGAUUUGUAUCUUAUUGAGUAAUGCUCAAAAAGUCAUUUCUUUGAUUACAUUCUGGCUUCUUCCUAAUGCUACCUGAACAACUUGGAUUCCGUCAAUGUCUUAGCCUGAGGUUUAAGGGUUAGAUUUUAACUUUUUGUCCGAAGUUACGUCAGACCAACAUCAUUUUGUUCUUGAGAAUUUUUUGUAGGGUUUUUGUUUAAUAACAAUCUGCAACAGUACUUAUGCUCCUUAUAUGUAUUUGCACUUUUAAAAUCUGUAUAUUCUUUUCUAUAUGAUGCAUUUCUAAACAAAUUGUGUUAAACAAAGCAUGAAAUCUUAUUUCCAGAUCAUUGACGAUGUAGCUGUGAAUAUAUUUCAAACAGUACACCUGCAGUUUCUAAAUUGGAUUAUAUUGAUAUGUGAAGAUAUUCAGAUACGAAGGGUGCUCAAUUGCUCAACUUAGAAAUCUGAAUGCUAUUUUUUUAUUCAGGUUAAUGUUCUCUUUCAAAGCUUUGGCGUUUGACACCAAAAUGAGUUUAUAGUUUGAUGACUAAUCCACUAGAAGAGAUUCAGAUUGGCUUGGUAAUAAUGGAGAGUUGGUCUUUGUUAUAUCAUCUAGCUGCAACUUGACUCUGUUCUUGUGUAUCUUGGUACAUCAAAUCUUCAUACGAUUGUGCAUGUACGGUCCGUACAAACUUGGGUGCCGUCGUUGGACUGAAGCUCUGUUUCAAUGAUAUUUUGGUUUAGUAACUGUUGUACAAUUUUCUACUCACAAAUGUAAUCCGGUGGUUUAUUAUCUAUAGGUUUAGGCAAUGGAAGCAGAUCACACUGUAGAUGUCCUUGAUUUUAUUUGCUCAUGACUGAACCUGGAUAUCUUUUCCAGGAAAAUCAUGUGUCAUUUACUUCUUGGGCCAGUGUUGUUUCAGUUCAGUAUGAGCUAUUCUUUGUGAUUCAUGGCAGAGACGAUAGCAGAGGAUAUUCUACAAUUCCAGUAUGAGCUUCUUGGAGUGGUAAGGAAUUGUGCGAUUCAUGGCAGAGAGGACAGCGGACGAUAUUCAACAUUUGUUGUAUAAAAUUAAAUUUAACAUAUUCAAGGAAUGAGCAUCUGGGUAAAUUGUCCUUGAGCUACUUCCUUGUACUAAGAAAGAAAAGUGAUUUUGUUCUCUUCAUUACUUUUUUAGUCUCUUACAAUAUUUAUGAAAUUCUUGUGACCCCUCCAAAUUAAUCCAUGUUGUAUAUGCAUGGUACAGUGGCAGGUUUACUUGUCAAUGAGUUCAAUGUGUUGAGUAAUUCUCUGGUAUCCACUGUAAGCUGUGAGAUCUACUUUCUUUCCAAUGUUGAUCCUGAUGAGAAGUCUCCUCUUGCAGAUUAGCUUCGCCUUGUCGGCAGCUUCACUUUGUUGCGUUGGGGAUUGCUUGGACGAACUCGCAUUUGUGAGAUAUCUUCUAAAGGUUCUGACUGAGGCUGACUGACUACUGGAAGAGCAGCAACUCUGCAUUGCAUUAUCAGUAUCUUGCAUGCUUCCACCACAGUUACAAUCAAAGGCACCUAUGAUAGUUAUUAGAAUAAUAGUUUCAAAGUGUAGUUGGUUUGGCUUCCUUGAUUAGUCUGCUGAGUGCUAACUGCUAAGGUACUAUCUCAAACUAAUUGAUAAUAAUCAUACUACAAAGUCUGUGUACCUCUUGCGGUAGCAACAAUGCAUACUAUUCAGAAUAUCUCAGUUUAUAUAUUAUUAUUUACCUUUCCUUUUGAAACAAACGAUGAGGAAGGUUGGUGAUGUCCAUUGAAUUCUAUGUUUUGAAUUGGAUCAUUCACAGCUAUCUAAGGUUCAUAGUUGAUAACAAUGUCCUACAGAAUCUGGAUAAAGAAUAGCUGGAAGUAAUGCACGUGUAAUUUAAAUAUAAGCGCCUAUAUUGUCUGGGGGUGAAGAAUCUGGAUAAAGAAUAGCUACAUUGCUGCUCUUUAGUUUUUAGUUUCCCAUCUGCAUGUAAAUGAUACUAAUUUUCAGGCUUCUGAUGAUUAUCAGAAUAGUGUUUUCAAAGUUUCUUAAUUCUUGCUAUAAGAUUACCAGAUGAGGUGAUAGAUUUGGACAACGAUAAUGGUUGCUAUUUCUUGCCUAACCUUAGAUUACAUUUUAUGUAAGGUUGCUCUUAUUUCAGCUCAUGAAUACGUGUUAUCAUGGAUUUAUAAUAUAUCACAUUAUCAUCAAGAGAAAAAAAACUUAAUGGUCUGUAUAUGCACUUCUUAUGCUCACAUUCAGUUCAUAGGCAUCGUUUCUUCAUUUUCUUUCCCAUGUAUUCAUUUUCUAGCAUUUUUUUUGGAUUUGAGAGCAAGUUUACCAUCUGAAACUAACUUCAAGAUAUAGGUUUUCUUCUUAUAUUUCCUAUUUAUUCUGGAUGCAUAGGGAGUUGAUAUCUUAAAUUGAACAUCAUGGGAAUCAGAAAAUAGCUUUCAGACUUCACAUAAGGAGACUAACUAUUGCUAUAUACGUUGGUUCUUUUUUCUUUUAUAGUACACAGUAGUAUUGCUAUAUAAUAAUAUCAACUACAGAAGUUACUCCAUUACCCAUACAGAUUUCAUAGCUGCACCUAAACUACCUUUUUCAAAAUUCAGGCUUUGCCACAAAUCGCUCCAGGUUUGCAUAUUUUAUCAGUAGCUUAAUUAUUUGGUCUGGUGGUUGGAAAUUAUACUCGAAUUUAAGCCCAUAAGUACUUGCACUUUUUAGUGGAUAAUAUUUGUCAUGUCUAUUUGGAUUUUAGUGUGUUGCCACUUGCAAAGUUGAGCUAGGCUAGACAGGUUGCCUAUACAUCUCACAAUAUUUUGAAAGGUAUUUUCUCAUAAACAAAUGAAGUGGCCUGGCACUGCCCAUGUAUUACUAUUAAGACCACAAUUUCAGAUGUACUCGAACACUUGGUUGUGGCAUAAGAUGCAUAUGCAUUUACAUUCAGUUAUUUCACAGAGCAUUCUGCAUACAAAUUGUUACACUUAGUUCUACUUUUUCCAAUCUUUAUUAAUAGAUAAAAGUCAUUCUCUGCCUGUAGAAACCAUGAGAAGGGAAAGCACGCCAAGGAAUUAUUCAUGUCGCAGUAAAACUUGCAGCCCAGUGCUCAUUCCCUCCCUGUAGAGGAAAGCAUAAGAAGGAAAAGGCUACCAAGAAAUUAUUCUCCUGCGGAACAUUGCCAGGUGUUCCCUGCGGCCACUGCCUCGCCCGUGCUCCGGUAAUUUUCGCAACCCAACAGCUGCCUAGAACACAAAUUAGUCUCAUCAUCUCAACAAAUCACAUGCAGAAGAGAGAAGAAACUCGGCACAACUUCCAGCAAACAACUAAAAUUAGAGGGAGAUAGGUACAAGUCAAGAAAAAACCUUGCUGUGUUGUCAAAAAAGGAAAGGCAGCACAUCAAGAGUGGAACUGUGGCAAUGAUCCCUGGAGCGAAUAGUGGUUGGAUUCGUCGAGCAGCCCACAUGACAGGCAGUGUCGGCUGCCGUCCUCAAGAAUACUGCGGUGGCGCAUCCAGCUCUGGUUCCGGAGGUUCAUUGCCGCCCCGCGAUGUUCAUCCCCCCUUCGUCCGAGCAGCGGUGGCAGGAUGCACCCUCAGCAUCUACUUGUUCGUGGCUCUCAGAUGCGUGACUGCUUUCCCCAAUAAAUGGUUGCAGGUCGGACAAGGCUCUCAGAUGUGUAAGCUAUGUAUGCAUGCUACGCGAGCUGGGCAGAAGGACAUGCUAGAUGUGAUGAAUCGGUGGUGCAAGCCAUGAGGAGCAUUGUAGUGUACUCCAUCUGCUUCAAUUGGGGAAAGGUGGUGGCAAGUAGUGUCACGGGAGAGAAAGAAAAAGCUGGAAGGGGAUCUGACAAAAUGCCUGUGAUUGUUCGGUGUGGGGGUGUUGUUUCGCGCAUGCCCAUGUGGGAGUAUCAGGAAUAAGCGGUCAGGGCUGUGUCCUAUCACUUCCGCGUAAAUUGUGUGUAUGUUAUUACUAUUUCUUUACUUAUUUAAAUAUAGAAAUUAC
Molecule: long non-coding RNA, 4749 nt
Organism: Lolium rigidum
Lineage: Eukaryota; Viridiplantae; Streptophyta; Magnoliopsida; Poales; Poaceae
Exons: 4
Source: RefSeq, a predicted model, not a curated record